AUCAUUAUUGAGCAUGCUAAUACAAGCAUUUGCGAGAAGGGAGUCUUCGUGCUCUCGGUGCGAGCCGCCAACAUGGGGGCACAGGCUGCUGCCGAGCUUAGUUGCUCUGGCCGGUCUCUCUGAUGGCUGAUUUGCUUUGCGGCUACGGCUGUCGGUGGAGAGUGCUUCGCUUCGGCGUCACUCAUUCUUUAUUUUACUAAUUGUGCACGGCUUCGCCGUGCCCAUACAGGGAGCUUCGCGGGCAAGUGUGACUUCGGUCGCCCUCGCGUCUCUCGCUUUUGGCUGUGGGUCGUCGCACCCAUGGUCGUUCGGAUUGGGUACCUACCUCAUGCUUCACCCUUUCGUGGAGAAGACGAGGAGACUCGCCGGUGUGAACCGGCGGGCAGGUUUUAAAUGAUUGUCGCCCAAUCACGAACCUCUUGUUACUAGUAACGAGAACCCAUCAUGAAUGAGACUCUGUCGCGAGGCAUUAGUCUAAAACAAAAGUACAACCCUGAACGGUGGAUCACUCGGCUCGUGGGUCGAUGAAGAACGCAGCAAAUUGCGCGUCGACAUGUGAACUGCAGGACACAUGAACAUCGACAUUUCGAACGCACAUUGCGGUCCAUGGAUUCCGUUCCCGGACCACGCCUGGCUGAGGGUCGGUAGCUAAAACUGAAAUGCUCUUUGCGUUUCGAUGGUGGGAGCCUCGCUGACGGUGUGACUUCGGUUGCCCGGGCGUCUCCUGAAAUGAGCUCCGUUAGGAGCUGGACUAGUCACGAAAGAACGGCGGUGUCGCGUCACGGCAGUUGUUUUCGGUGGUCCGCGCAGCGUCUUAGUAUGCUGGCGCCGGUUGCCCCGUGCUUCUCGCUCAGCGUAUCCUACCGUAGUGGCAUUUCACUAUUUCCUAACACGACCUCAGAGCAGGCGAGACUACC
This 917-nucleotide ribosomal RNA is filed under the name Poecilimon veluchianus minor. RNAcentral describes it as "eukaryotic LSU rRNA". The stretch from base 490 to 644 matches the Rfam family "5.8S ribosomal RNA". Lineage: Eukaryota; Metazoa; Arthropoda; Insecta; Orthoptera; Tettigoniidae. The record is from RNAcentral.